Long non-coding RNA from Diospyros lotus (date-plum), 1714 nucleotides. RefSeq lists it as uncharacterized. The record is from RefSeq and is a predicted model, not a curated record. Lineage: Eukaryota; Viridiplantae; Streptophyta; Magnoliopsida; Ericales; Ebenaceae. The transcript has 4 exons.
UAUAUCACCUUUAAUGUCUUUGUUCAACUUUAAAGAAUCCUGUUUGAUUAGUACUGUUUGGUUAUUUUUCUCCGUUUUAGGCAAACUUAAUUUAGGAGCUUAUUUUACUUGGAAAUAUUGUCGUCAAACCAGCUGUAUUUUUAGGGGCAUCCUCAAUCACUUUUCUGUUUGCUUUACAAGAGAACUGUUUUGAAUAUGUAAAUCGAGUUUUUCAACAAAAAAAAAGAAAGCAUUAUGAGAACUUGGAAUCACAUUUACCAAGGCUUGGAGAGCAAUCAAAAUUUAGUGGGAGAACAAAUGAGAUUCACGAGACUCAAGCUUGAGAUAUCAAGCUCACUAGUGCUACCACAUAUCAGAAAUUAUAACUCCAAUUAUAUCAUUUAUGGGCAGCUUGUAAGCACUCAAGAAUGGGCAUCUCCACUCCACCCCAACACUUCCAAAGCUCUCUCUCUUUAACAUUCCACAUCAUGAAUAAUCGUUCUUGAAUAGCUUGGUGAACCAAUCCAGCCAAAAAAAAAAAAAAAAAAAAGGAAGAGGAAAGAAAAAACAGAGGAACUUGUUUGUGAGACUAGGGUUAGCUAGCCAGGAUGAAGGGGAGGAGGCUUCUCAGCUUGCAGGACAUUUUGAUAGACUUUCUAGUUCCCUUCCAACAAACACAAAGCCACGAAAGCCAAAGACAAGUGGAGCAGACUUUUGUGUUGAAUAGGGGAAAGCUCUACUUCAAUGGCUAAUUCAAUGCCUACUGGUUGAAGUCCAUGGCAUCUGAUGCUAGCACAAAGGACAAGGUCAGGUCACAACUACAUUCCAACAAGCUUCCAAGCUUCGCAUGAAUGCUGCAAGAACUUGGGCUUUCAGUGAUUGUGCUAUUUACAAGGCCCUACGCACAGCCCUUUUCCGGCUCCUACGAGGAGGACGUUUUCAAGGUACCCUACAAGAAAAUUGUCUUUUAGAGGCUUUGGACUUUGUGGUCUCAGGAGCCGACAAAUAUGGAAUUUAUCUGAUUUUGAGCUUAGUGAACAACUGGGACGACUAUGGCGGCAAGAGACAGUAUGUGCAAUGGGCAAGAGACCUAGGCCAUUACUUGAACAAUGAUGAUGAUUUCUUUAAUUACCAAUCCUGCCAUCAAAGGAUUCUUCAAGAAUCACAUUAUGUAUGCAUGGCAUGAUAAAUAUAAAUAUCAGUGGCAUUUUUGCAAUGAUUUUUGGAUUUUUGAUUAAUUUUGGAAAAGAAUUUAUUUUUACAACAUUAAUUAAUUACAUUUUAGAAUCAUGAAGAAAUUAAUUAAUUAAAUUUUGAGCAGGCUAUAUUGACAGGAGUGAACCCCCAUAAUUGGGGUGGCUGCUUAUAAAGAUGAUCCCACCAUCCUUGCAUGGGAGCUAAUGAAUGAGCCUGGUUGCCAAAGUGACCUAUCUGGGAUAUCUAUUCAGGUUUCCUCUUUAAUAAUUCAGACUGGACCUGUAGGAUUGGGUUGAGGAAAUGGCAGCCCAUGUGAAGUCCAUUGACGAAAACCAUCUGUUCGAGAUUGGACUGGAAGGAUACUAUGGGGAAUCAUAUCAGAAAAACUGACCAACUUAUGGUCUAAUCUCGUCAAGAGGAGGGACCUUCUCUCAGUAGAGAGUUGAAAGCUUCUGAGAUUCUUGAGCAAUCACAGAGGCAGUGGAAGGGCAUUCUUCCAGCACAACUUCAUACCCAUCAUGCCAACCCUCCAUUCCAG